Long non-coding RNA from Callithrix jacchus (white-tufted-ear marmoset), 7119 nucleotides. RefSeq lists it as uncharacterized. The record is from RefSeq and is a predicted model, not a curated record. Lineage: Eukaryota; Metazoa; Chordata; Mammalia; Primates; Cebidae.
CGGGCUGCUAUUGGUUGGCGGGUUGCUGGGCGGGUUUUCCGGAGCCGGCCAGGGUUGCAUCAGCAGGAGCCUUCCAGGGCAGCAGUGCGGCCGAGCUAGGUGCCGAGUGCAGAGCCUGGUGCCGGGUGCAGAGUCAGAAGUCUUAACUUGGAGCGUAAAUCUCUGGCUGCAAUGAAUCUGAGUGGAUAUUGAGAGAAAUAGCCUAUGGAAUGGCCUGGAUAGGAAAGCCACGAGGAAUGGACUCCCACUGGAAAAUGCAGCCAUGGCUAAGUGUUCAUCUUUGGCUUGGCUUCCCAGACCUCCCCAAACCUUGAUGUUCCUCAGAAAAGUCUUCAGCAUGCCACAGAACACACGGAAUCAAUGUGUGUGUGAUGCACCGCGAUAUUUCACCACACGGGGGAAGAGAGGGACCUGUGUGCUGCAGUGCAACCCCUCUCCUGGCUACCAGCCACAUGACUUCUGACCCAUUGAGGCUCUCUCUGGACAAACUCUCCGUCUGCCAAGCUCAGCGCCCCUGGGUUCUUCCAGGUUUGUGCAUGGCUUUCACCCUCAUACUUGCCCUUCCCAGUCACCUGAGCAUGAGAACCUAGGCCAGAGACCAGACCUCAGCACUGCUUCGCCCUGGGUCAUCAUGCAGGGAAUUGGUUCAGCCUAUCAGACACUAGCUAGGUGGUUUUUAAAAUUAAGACUUUUGGUUAGGAGGCAUUUUGAAGAUCUAUUUAAGGGUUGGGAGCUGGGAAAAGACUGGAGACAAGGGAUAAUGUAGGUGGGGAAGUGAGCAUCAGGGGCCGUGUGAGCUUUUCCGGUGGGGAGGGUGGUGGUUCACGUUGCACUGUGUCUCCAGAAGAGACAUGCUGGAAUCCUCACCCCCAGCACCUCAGAAUGUGACCUUACCGGAAGUAAUGUGUUUACAGUGGCAAUCAAGUUAAGAUGAAGUCAUUGGGUGGGUCCUAAUCCAAUAUAACUGGUGUUCUCAUAAAAAGGAGAAAUUUGGACACAGAGACAGACAGUUGUAGAGGGAAAGCAAUAUGAAGCAGCAGGGAGGAGACGGCCAUCUGCAAGCCAAGGAGAGAGGCUUCAGGAAACCCGCCCUGGCAACAUCUUGAUCUUGGACUUCCAGCCUCCACAACUGUGAAACACAAAUUUCUAUGUGUAAGCCACCCAGCUUGGUGCUUUGUUAUGCAGCCCUAGCACACUGAUGCAGAGAGAGGGUGACAGGGAAGCAGACAGUCAGAGAUAUAGUAAGAUAUAGUAAGUAAUAAUUGGAACUAAAAGGUAGUCUCCCUCCUCCGUCACUUCUCAGGGAAUAUGUAGGCAGAGUUGAAUCAAAUCAGCAGGAUUCAAAUAGUCUUCUUUAUCUUGGAUACAAUCUGUAGGAGCCUCUUUUCUAGCCUCUCAGAAAUAACCUUUUCUGUGUCCCCAAACAUGAGAGUUAAAACUGGCAGUGCUGUGCUGAGGGUGGGUUGGGAAGAACUGAACCCGAGUGGGGAGGCCUGACCCUGACGGGCAUGGUGCCGUGAUCUCCAGCCAGACAGGGCUGAGGAAGUCUGCUGUGAGGACAGAGAGCACGUGUCAGGUUCUGUGGGACAGGACCUGCUCAGGGGAGCAAAUUCCAGGGGUGUGGAAGGUUCUGACAUGAUUCAACAGUACAAGGAAUUGCCUUGUCUGUGAGAAACCAGAGCAGCCCAGUUCUGGCGUUUAAACUCCCUUCCAGUGAGACAGCAGGGAGGCGCCACGUCACGAUGACCAUGCAAGAGACGGAUGAUGCACACAGAUGCAGCAAUGUCAGGGCCUGUUGUGGAUCGUUUCAUGUAAUCCUUGUCAAUGAUCCCUCAAGAUAAGAUGUUUUCAUGUUAAGUUAAAAUUGGAUCAGGUGACCAAGCAAUUGCUCAAGUUAUCUCAGUUACUAUGCAGUGGAGAGGUGAUCAGAAGGCAGGUCCCUCUGAUUCUCACACUUGUAAUUAGCAUGUGUGCAGGACAGUGCGGGGCCCAGUCCUGGGUGGGGUGGGAAACAGCAGGGACCAUGACCGAGAGAAAGAGGACUUGGCAGCUGGGAUCUGCACCUGAUGCCAGGAAGAGACAGUGAACGCUCUCUCUGCAAUAGGUAUCACCAUAAUAAUUCAAAGGGAAUGCAUCCACAGAGCUUCCAGAGGGGUGUGUGUGCGUGUGUGUGCACGCGUGCAAGUGGGCACGUAUGUGUGUAUGAGUGCAUGUCUGUGUAUGUGUGUGUGUGCAUGUGUAUGAGUGUGUGUGCCUGUGUAUGAGUGCAUGUGUGCACGAAUGUGUGCAUGUAUGCAUGUGUGUAUGAGUGUGUGUCUGUGUGUGCCUGUGUGUGCAUGCAGACACUUGUGUGUGUAUGAGUUCAUGUCUGUGUGUGUGCAUGUGUAUGCAUAUGUGUGCAUGUAUGCACGUGUGUAUGAGUGCAUGUCUUUGUGUGCUUGCAUGCGUGUGUGUGUGGUGUGAGGUAGGAAAGUACAGGUGAGGCCCACCACAAGAACAUUUUCUAAGGCUGGAUGACCACAGAUCAGGCAUCUGGUUGGGAAGCACAGUGUCAGAUGGAGGAGACUUGGGAUUCAAGACUGAGGCCUUGGGCAAAUCCGGAGCAUCCAAGACUCCCUUCCAAGCCAGGCUGACCACGAGUUGGAUGUGAUGCAAAUAAUGACCAGACAGAACAGUGUUGAUAAUAUUGGAUCUCUGAUAAUUUGAGGCUGUGACCAUGUUAAGGAUGUCAAAAAGUCCUUCCUGUUUUUUCUAAAGCAUCAUUUUGCAUAAUAAUUUCAAGGAAGCUAUUUCAUCAGCCUGUGUCUGGAGAUUACCAGGGCAAUUUUGAUGGAUGACAGAUAGAAAGCAGAACUCAUCUCCUGGAAUGCGUCUCCUUCUUUGUGAAGAGAUAUUAGGCUGGAAAGGCUGGAUGAUGAUUGAGCUGCAGCUAGGCCACGUGGAAAUUCUGUAAAGGACUUGGUACUGCCCUAUGGGAAUCCUUGCUCCUGAGCCUAGAAGAACACACUCUCGGACCUUUGAGGACCUGGGCAAUGUCUGAGUCCGCAGAGUCUCCCUCCUGCUGUGCUCUGAGCCUGGAGGAAGGUGGGAGUGCGGCUGGAGCCAGAGACAGCACUCAUGUUCAUGAUCACACUGUACAAAGCACCUAAGCCACAGUCCAUGUCUAAUCACCCUGACACUGCUCACAUCGAGGCCUUUUGCAAAGGAUUGGAUAACCAGUAAUUACAGCAAAACGCUGUCUUUUGUCUCAACAGCUCUUUCACCAUGAGAAGAACCAGGUACCCAAGAGUAUUUUUUACCCUGGAUAAUUUAGCAGUUCUAGAAGGCUCCUAAUCUAAUUAGCUUAUUUUUCUUGAAGUGCGAUGAACCAGGUCAGCCCUACUUGUAACGUCUCUCUAGCCUCAACAGGUUUUCAUCUACUGGCUGGAAAGGCUGGCUCUGCCAUUGGGCUGACCUCACAAGAGGCUAGUUGAAUGCUUAUGUUCCAGGUUGCUCCCCACUAUUCCCUGGCCUGAGGGUCAUUUGCUCACUCACUAAUUCAAUCACAAAUAUUCUCUGGGUGGAUUCUCUGUGCUAUGGAGAUCAGGUGAGUAUUUUGUACUUGAAAACCCUAAAACAGAAAGUGAAUUAAUUUUUUGAUCAAGAAAACUGACUGUCAGCUUUGCCUUUUUGAAACUUCUCACCUAGGACAUUACUAGGCUCUGCAGGACGGGGUUGGUGAGAAGGUAGUAGUCCAAGAGAUUUUGUAAGAAUAAUAAGCAAGAAUUAAGCCAGAUAAUUCAUGAGGAAUUUGUAAAGAGUAAACCACUGUACAAAUUGAGAUAUUUCACCUACUAUUGUAUUCAUUUAUUUUUCAUAAUAAAAAGUAAUACCACGGAUGGAAAACAUGUCCAUUAAGAAUCCCAUAAACUGGAGAUGGGAGAAUCACAGCUGUUUCGAAUGGGCAAAGUUUAAAUCAUAAAUGGACUCUCAACAAAAUAGAGCAGGCUCGUGAAGAUGUAGAAUGUCUUGGGUUUCUGCUGGACUCAUGUCUGCUUGGAGAAGUGAGAUGAUUAUUCUCUGUUGAUUAGAAUGGAAAAAUAAAUGUCAUUUAUUUUUUAUGUUUAAAAAAAAACCCUCACACAUUUGCAAGAGAAAAUGUGAGAGGGAGUCCUUGAGAUAAGUAAGUGAUUCAUGCUGACCUUGAUGAUGUUUUGCCUGCUCCAUAGCAACCUUCAGCUGAGAGAAUGGGACCCAGCAGCAGAAGAGCUAUAUUUACAGACUUUGCAACUUUCCUGCAGUCCUGGCUCCCUCCAGGAACAUUCCUUCUAACGCACCCAGAAACCAAAUUAGGGUAGUUUCACCAUGACAGCUACAAAUUUAAUCCAACACGAAGAGUUAGAGGCAGGCAAUUUGUUGUGUAUGAUUCAAGAGUUACCAAAAAUUCCUUUGGAUUUGGGUGUCUUCCACACCUCUUAGGUAAGUUAAACACAUCCUUUUGAUUCUAAGGAAAACUGCUUGUAAAAUAUUUGGGCGCUCUUGGGACAUCAAACAGCUUUUAGAGGAGUGCAUUUUAAUGGUUUACUUGUAAAAGAAUCAGUAAAAGAAGUAGAAACAUAUGGUUCAAAUUCCUCUGAAUUCUGCAAAGUAUUUUAUAGAUGCCUUUUUUUUCCUGAGGGUCUCCCCACAUCUUUGAGUGCUUAUCCUAAAAAUACUCCAAAAAAAACCAUUACAUGUACUGGCACAGCAAGUGAGAUGUCACAUGUAACAUGGGUCUUGCUGAGGCUGCAGACCUGGGCCCUGGCAGACACUGGGCUCAUUGAGAAGUGUGGGGAGAAGGAAAGAAAUCAGAAUGUUUGGGAAUCCUGAGUAAUUAGGGUACAGUCAGAGGUAGCUCGUCCAGGGCUUCAAGGCUCAAGAGCUUACUAACUCCAAGCAGGUAACUUUAAGGCUUAAUUGGAUCCUGAGAACUGAAAAUGGAGAUUGGAUGGUACUAGCAGCUUGAAAGUUGUAGUUUUUGUUGACUCCGGGGCAUUCAAGUUCAACUAAAAUGACACAUUGACCAAACAAAACAGGUCUGUGGGCAGCCUCUGCCACCAGCCUCACCCCUACUGCUCCCCACUCCCAUCUAGCUUCCUGGGCUAUGGGUUAGCACAUGAGUUGAGGAGAGACUUCCCUAAAGGCAGAUGGGUAGAAAGAUGGGUACCGAAUACGAGUCCUGGAUCCCAUGCAUUAUAUCACAUUCCAGUGCACACCGUCUAGGUUUGUGUGAGUACACUCUAUGAUCACACAAUGACAAAAAUCACCUAACCGUGAGCUUCUCAGAAUGCAUCUCUGUUGUAAAGCCACACAUGCCUGCAAUUGUUAUUGUAACAGUUGAGUUUUCCAGUUUUAGGCAUUAACUUAGCAAAUAUAACUGGGCGCUUGCUUUGUGGCCUUCAUUGAAGAUGCAGUGGGGAGUCAACAUGGACAUGGCUUCCCUCACAAGUCAGUUGAGUGGAGAGACCACCCCCACUGAAGUGACCACACAAGCAGGUAUAAGACAGCAGCUAUGGCUGGAACCCUGGUUUGGGUCAAGAGGAGCCUCCCUGAGAAGGUGAAUGAUGAGUGGAGUUUAGGAAAAGCUUCCCAUGGUGUGGGAAUGCAGUGCAAAAAGCCUCCCUGUGUCUGAGGGCCAGAGUAGUUGUAGCUGAGGCUGUCAAUACAGUGAUUUAGGAAUUUCCCUCCUGCUUUCUCCUAAUACGCAUUUGCAGCCUGCACCCUGUGCUAAGGGAAUUGGUCAGGACAAUCAGUUAUCCUGUAUAGCUGGGCAUUCUGGGAGUAGGCUGGACACUGCUGUCACCUCUUUGAACAGCAUCACUAGAAUUCUUAACAAAACAAAAACAAAAAAGAAAACAAAACCAACUUUACACAUUACCUCUACUAUUUUGUCUAGCUUGCAGGAGAAGGUAGGUCAUAUACUUGUUCAGAAAAACAUGUAGGGAGAUGGGAAUAGGUGGGCAGCAGUCAGCUAGAAAGUGGGAUGCGUAGGUUGGAAGCCUGAAUAUAGGCUGGUCGGGACUGGCCAGGGUUGAGAAUUGAAAGGCGGCUACAGCUCAGCUCAUCCAGGACAGGAGGGAAGGUCCAGGCAAGACACGCAUAUCAUUUAGCAAAAUAGUUGCUGUUCCAGGUCUAGAAGGAGAUGAAGCGUAGGAGGUCCAGGUGACUGGAGCAGAAAGAGAGAGCAAGUCUGUGUGCAGAAGAUUUAGAGGCUUAGGACUCACUGAGAAUUGAGGAGCAAGGGUGUUGGGGUGAUCCUAGUAAGGUCACUGGGAACUAAGGAAGCUACAGGCGCCUCUUCUGCCCAGUAUCUGGGUUGGUCCCAUAUUGGAUCCCAGGUCCUUGGGUUGAACAGGCCUUAGAGAUGAACUAGGUGCUGGAGAGAGUCAGAGAGGGAGGAAGGGAAUGAUGCCCAGGUUUUGGCGUGAAUCACUGGGUGAUGAUGAUGCAUUUACUAAGAUAGGACAUAGAAGAGGAGGACCAGGCUUGAGGGGGUCAUGGGCAAAAUGGGUUCGAGAUGCUUGUAGGAUAUUAAAUAUAUUGUUGAAUUUAGACCAUGCUUGUCACAUAGCAGAUGUUCAAUAAAUACUUGUCAAAUGAAUAAAUUGCCCUGAGAGCCAUUUGGAAGACGGAGACUGUAGCACAUGAAUAGCUAUGGGUAGAUCAAGGAGAGAAUACAGGAGAGAAACAAGAGAGGUUUCCCUCCAUGCCAUCCCCACCAGCACUAAUGGUGCCCUUUCAGGCAUGUAACUCAGCAGAGUUCAUGCUAACAUGUCUCACAGGCCCAUCUGGAGUCCCUAACUCUUUAGAGCUUCCCUGGGGUCAUGGCAUGGCUCUUAGUGCUAAGUGCUGCUGUUCCUCUGUAGAGACAAGUUCCUGGGGCCUCCACCAAUAUCUGUUUUCCCUGUUGAACUUCUAUUUGGUCAUCAUGUUCUUGGUGCUGUUCUCCUGGUGCUUUCCAAGUUUUCCAUGGAAUUUCAUUAACGGGAAAAGGAGGAAGCCCAUGUAGGGUUUUGGGAGCAGAGCAGGUUGGGCAAACACUGAAUUUCUUUGAAGCUCCAUUUUAUAAAUCAUGUGAAUAUGUUUUACUUUGAAUUUUCC